UCGGGAUUUCAGCCUCCCGCUCUUCCAAGAUAGACGGUGUCCCGUCCAAGUGCUGA
Non-coding RNA from Bordetella sp. SCN 67-23, 56 nucleotides. The record is from Rfam. NCBI's taxonomy places the organism in Bacteria, Pseudomonadati, Pseudomonadota, Betaproteobacteria, Burkholderiales, Alcaligenaceae.